This 465-nucleotide ribosomal RNA is filed under the name Vreelandella stevensii. RNAcentral describes it as "partial 16S ribosomal RNA". It matches the Rfam family "Bacterial small subunit ribosomal RNA", at positions 338 to 795 of the family's 1533-position model. The record is from RNAcentral. Lineage: Bacteria; Pseudomonadati; Pseudomonadota; Gammaproteobacteria; Oceanospirillales; Halomonadaceae.
CCUACUGGUGGCAGCAGUGGGGAAUAUUGGACAAUGGGCGAAAGCCUGAUCCAGCCAUGCCGCGUGUGUGAAGAAGGCCUUCGGGUUGUAAAGCACUUUCAGUGGGGAAGAAAGCCUUGGGGCUAAUACCCUCGAGGAAGGACAUCACCCACAGAAGAAGCACCGGCUAACUCCGUGCCAGCAGCCGCGGUAAUACGGAGGGUGCGAGCGUUAAUCGGAAUUACUGGGCGUAAAGCGCGCGUAGGCGGUCUGAUAAGCCGGUUGUGAAAGCCCCGGGCUCAACCUGGGAACGGCAUCCGGAACUGUCAGGCUAGAGUGCAGGAGAGGAAGGUAGAAUUCCCGGUGUAGCGGUGAAAUGCGUAGAGAUCGGGAGGAAUACCAGUGGCGAAGGCGGCCUUCUGGACUGACACUGACGCUGAGGUGCGAAAGCGUGGGUAGCAAACAGGAUUAGAUACCCCGGUAGUC